RNAcentral lists this non-coding RNA (22 nucleotides) under Rattus norvegicus (Norway rat). Lineage: Eukaryota; Metazoa; Chordata; Mammalia; Rodentia; Muridae. The record is from RNAcentral.
UAUUUUAGGAGAAAUGGGGUGG